This 560-nucleotide small RNA is filed under the name Pongo abelii (Sumatran orangutan). RNAcentral describes it as "retained intron". Lineage: Eukaryota; Metazoa; Chordata; Mammalia; Primates; Hominidae. The record is from RNAcentral.
CUGCCCAGGGACCGCGGACCCGGACGCAGGCAGACCAUGUGGACCCUGGUGAGCUGGGUGGCCUUAACAGCAGGGCUGGUGGCUGGAACGUGGUGCCCAGAUGGUCAGUUCUGCCCUGUGGCCUGCUGCCUGGACCCCGGAGGAGCCAGCUACAGCUGCUGCAGUCCCCUUCUGGACAAAUGGCCCACAACACUGAGCAGGCAUCUGGGUGGCCCCUGCCAGGUUGAUGCCCACUGCUCUGCCGGCCACUCCUGCAUCUUUACUGUCUCAGGGACUUCCAGUUGCUGCCCCUUCCCAGAGGUGAGCGUGCCAUCAGCCCAAUGGAGGGGCUUAGGUCUGCAUUUAUGCUUUUCCUGCACUCUCCCACCUGCAGAUAAAAGAGCCCUGCCAAUGCAGGUUUCUCUGUGUUCCACAGGCCGUGGCAUGCGGGGAUGGCCAUCACUGCUGCCCACGGGGCUUCCACUGCAGUGCAGACGGGCGAUCCUGCUUCCAAAGAUCAGGUGCAGCGGGGGUGUGGGUGCAGGGCAGGCAGACGGGCAGCAUGUAGAGCCUGGAACCCA